UGGGGAAUAUUGCACAAUGGGCGCAAGCCUGAUGCAGCAACGCCGCGUGAACGAUGAAGGUCUUCGGAUCGUAAAGUUCUGUUGCAGGGGAAGAUAAUGACGGUACCCUGUGAGGAAGCCCCGGCUAACUACGUGCCAGCAGCCGCGGUAAUACGUAGGGGGCUAGCGUUAUCCGGAUUUACUGGGCGUAAAGGGUGCGUAGGUGGUCUUUCAAGUCGGUGGUUAAAGGCUACGGCUCAACCGUAGUUAGCCUCCGAAACUGGAAGACUUGAGUGCAGAAGGGGAGAGUGGAAUUCCAUGUGUAGCGGUGAAAUGCGUAGAUAUAUGGAGGAACACCGGUGGCGAAAGCGGCUCUCUGGUCUGUAACUGACGCUGAGGCUCGAAAGCGUGGGGAGCGAACAGG
This 403-nucleotide ribosomal RNA is filed under the name Verrucomicrobiota bacterium. Its description in RNAcentral is "Verrucomicrobia bacterium partial 16S ribosomal RNA". It matches the Rfam family "Bacterial small subunit ribosomal RNA", at positions 355 to 776 of the family's 1533-position model. Lineage: Bacteria; Pseudomonadati; Verrucomicrobiota. The record is from RNAcentral.